GAUGAACGCUGGCGGCGUGCCUAAUACAUGCAAGUCGAGCGAACAGACGAGGAGCUUGCUCCUCUGACGUUAGCGGCGGACGGGUGAGUAACACGUGGAUAACCUACCUAUAAGACUGGGAUAACUGCGGGAAACCGGAGCUAAUACCGGAUAAUAUAUUGAACCGCAUGGUUCAAUAGUGAAAGACGGGUUUGCUGUCACUUAUAGCUGGAUCCGCGCCGCAUUAGCUAGUUGGUAAGGUAACGGCUUACCAAGGCAACGAUGCGUAGCCGACCUGAGAGGGUGAUGGGCCACACUGGAACUGAGACACGGUCCAGACUCCUACGGGCGGCAGCAGUAGCGACGCUUCCGAAAUGGGCGAAAGACUGACGGAGCAACGCAGCGUGGGUGCUGAAGGUCUUCGGAUCGUAAAACUCUGUUAUUAGGGAAGAACAAAUGUGUAAGUAACUAUGCACGUCUUGACGGUACCUAAUCAGAAAGCCACGGCUAACUACGUG
Molecule: ribosomal RNA, 497 nt
Filed under: uncultured bacterium
Lineage: Bacteria
Description: partial 16S ribosomal RNA
Rfam family: Bacterial small subunit ribosomal RNA
Source: RNAcentral